GACGCCUGAGAUAGGCACAGACUCCCCGUGACCCGAGAAGUUCGGAUAAGCGGUAGAAGAUGAAUGAAUGAAUGUUUUUCUGUAAUAUUUACUGAAGGAGUCUCCAGUGUUAGCGCUUUGUAUCAGGAGGAGUUUACAAGAGGACGUCUGCUGUAACGUAAGUGAUAUCAGGAGCUCACGGGAUUUCUGGAUGCUUACAGUGAUAGAACCAUGACCGUCAGUUUCCCCUGAGGAGGAUGAUGAUGAUAACGAUGAUGGUGAUGAUGGUGCCUGUCAUGUCUGCCUGCUUGUUCUCACCGUUUUCUCUUUCAUCACUCUGACACGUCGCUUUGAGGCGACUCCAGAACGGUCACAAACACCGGCGGUGCUGCUGUUCAAAGCCCUGCAGCAAACCUCGACUCUAAACACAGCCAUCCUGUCUGAUCACUCGGAAUCCAGUGUGUUUUAUUCCGUGGCACUUUGCUCCGAGUGACACUCCGCAGCUGAGGAUGAUGAGGAAGGCUAUAUCGUAUUUAUCCUAUUACUGCUUAAACCUAGACUUAACGUAUGGACCACUUGUGCUCAUGAAUUCAUUUAUUUAUUUAUUUUUAAUCACUGGAGCCGAUCUGCAGAUUGUAAAAGACGAGAAACAAAGUCAAGGAAACGGGAUAAA
Tachysurus fulvidraco (yellow catfish) is the source of this 652-nucleotide long non-coding RNA. RefSeq lists it as uncharacterized. Lineage: Eukaryota; Metazoa; Chordata; Actinopteri; Siluriformes; Bagridae. The record is from RefSeq and is a predicted model, not a curated record. The transcript has 2 exons.